GUGCUUACUUCAGCAGCGCGUAUACUAAAAUUGGAACGGUACAGAGAAGAUUAGCAAUGGGCCCAGUGCAAGGAUUGAUACACAAAUUCCUAUGUUUGU
RNAcentral lists this small nuclear RNA (99 nucleotides) under Callorhinchus milii (elephant shark). Lineage: Eukaryota; Metazoa; Chordata; Chondrichthyes; Chimaeriformes; Callorhinchidae. The record is from RNAcentral.